UACGGAGGGGGCUAGCGUUGUUCGGAAUUACUGGGCGUAAAGCGCACGUAGGCGGCUUUGUAAGUUAGAGGUGAAAGCCCGGGGCUCAACUCCGGAAUUGCCUUUAAGACUGCAUCGCUAGAAUUGUGGAGAGGUAAGUGGAAUUCCGAGUGUAGAGGUGAAAUUCGUAGAUAUUCGCAAGAACACCAGUGGCGAAGGCGGCUCACUGGCCCGAUACUGACGCUGAGGCGCGAAAGCGUGGGGAGCAAACAGG
RNAcentral lists this ribosomal RNA (253 nucleotides) under uncultured bacterium. RNAcentral describes it as "partial 16S ribosomal RNA". It matches the Rfam family "Bacterial small subunit ribosomal RNA", at positions 524 to 776 of the family's 1533-position model. The record is from RNAcentral.